This 500-nucleotide ribosomal RNA is filed under the name uncultured bacterium. RNAcentral describes it as "partial 16S ribosomal RNA". It matches the Rfam family "Bacterial small subunit ribosomal RNA", at positions 30 to 523 of the family's 1533-position model. The record is from RNAcentral.
AUUGAACGCUGGCGGAAUGCUUUACACAUGCAAGUCGAACGGCAGCACGGACUUCGGUCUGGUGGCGAGUGGCGAACGGGUGAGUAAUAUAUCGGAACGUGCCCAGUCGUGGGGGAUAACGUAGUGAAAAUUACGCUAAUACCGCAUACGAUCUACGGAUGAAAGCGGGGGAUCGCAAGACCUCGCGCGAUUGGAGCGGCCGAUAUCAGAUUAGGUAGUUGGUGAGGUAAAGGCUCACCAAGCCAACGAUCUGUAGCUGGUCUGAGAGGACGACCAGCCACACUGGGACUGAGACACGGCCCAGACUCCUACGGGAGGCAGCAGUGGGGAAUUUUGGACAAUGGACGCAAGUCUGAUUCGGCCAUUCCGCGUGCAGGACGAAGGCCUUCGGGUUGUAAACUGCUUUUGUACAGAACGAAAAGGUUUCUAUUAAUACUAGGGGCUCAUGACGGUACUGUAAGAAUAAGCACCGGCUAACUACGUGCCAGCCGCCGCGGUAA